Molecule: small nuclear RNA, 107 nt
Organism: Callithrix jacchus (white-tufted-ear marmoset)
Lineage: Eukaryota; Metazoa; Chordata; Mammalia; Primates; Cebidae
Source: RefSeq, a predicted model, not a curated record
GUGAUUGCUUGAGUAGUACAUACACUAAAAUUAGAACAACAGAGAGGCAAUUAGGAUAGCACCUGAGCAAGAAUGAUGUGCAAAUUCAUGAAGUAUUCUGUAUUUUU